CCUACGGGGGGCAGCAGUGAGGAAUAUUGGUCAAUGGACGAGAGUCUGAACCAGCCAAGUAGCGUGAAGGAUGACUGCCCUAUGGGUUGUAAACUUCUUUUAUAUGGGAAUAAAACGUUCCACGUGUGGGAUUUUGUAUGUACCAUAUGAAUAAGGAUCGGCUAACUCCGUGCCAGCAGCCGCGGUAAUACGGAGGAUCCGAGCGUUAUCCGGAUUUAUUGGGUUUAAAGGGAGCGUAGGUGGAUUGUUAAGUCAGUUGUGAAAGUUUGCGGCUCAACCGUAAAAUUGCAGUUGAAACUGGCAGUCUUGAGUACAGUAGAGGUGGGCGGAAUGCGUGGUGUAGCGGUGAAAUGCUUAGAUAUCACGAAGAACUCCGAUUGUGAAGGCAGUUCACUGGACUGCAACUGACACUGAGGCUCGAAAGUGUGGGUAUCAAACAGGAUUAGAUACCCGUGUAGUC
RNAcentral lists this ribosomal RNA (460 nucleotides) under uncultured bacterium. Its description in RNAcentral is "partial 16S ribosomal RNA". It matches the Rfam family "Bacterial small subunit ribosomal RNA", at positions 338 to 795 of the family's 1533-position model. The record is from RNAcentral.